GAUUUUUAACAUACUGUGGUAUUUUAUAGAAGAAAGGCUAAAGAAUCUGGCUUGCUCUUUUUCUCAGGGUAAUGAUCCAAUAAGUUGAAGGAAAUCCUGCCCAAAGGAGGAAUAAUGAAGUGGAUGGCAUGAAGAUGAAGGCCAGGGGGUGCUGGAGUCCAGGAUCUCUUUAAAGCAGUUCAUGUGCUCUGGACUCUCACAGAUGUCAGGAGUCUGGAAUGGCAGGUGGUACUUUAGAGCCCAUAAGACAGCAUGGGCUACAACAGGCACGUUUAAAACAGGCACGACCGGCCUCUAGCAAGAUGUGCUAGGUGAAGUUUCACUAUUGGAGAGUGAGACUAGAAAUGAGCCCGAACAAAUCAGUAGUAGCAGAUGAUCCAAGAGGAGGUGUUUUCUGCUGCCCCUCAAUGGAAUUACAAAGUAAGCAAAGAGAUUAUGUCUCCCAAGAUGAUGUCAAUACAGCUCAGUGUCAGGAAUCUCACGCUCAGGCCUGGUACAGCCUCAUACCAGAAGAAAAAGCAGAUUCUGACACCAACAAUUCUUACUUGAGUCCAUUUUCAAACACUCCAGUGAUGCAGAACAAACGAAAAUAGCCAUGUCAUCUCAUCCCAAUAAGCUGUUGGAUUUUUUUGGCAUUCUCAGGCUUGUACUCAGAAGUAUAGGAAAGCAAGAGCCCUUGUUAAUUCUUUC
Molecule: long non-coding RNA, 690 nt
Filed under: Numida meleagris (helmeted guineafowl)
Lineage: Eukaryota; Metazoa; Chordata; Aves; Galliformes; Numididae
Description: lncRNA (ENSNMEG00000016433.1)
Source: RNAcentral